This is a long non-coding RNA of Gallus gallus (chicken), 1706 nucleotides long. NCBI's taxonomy places the organism in Eukaryota, Metazoa, Chordata, Aves, Galliformes, Phasianidae. The record is from Ensembl.
AAUAAUAUCAAUAGUACAUGCCAUCUUGGUCAACAGGAACACUGGGAAACAAAAGGAUGCCUCGUGAGAGCAGUAGACAAUGCCCACAUUUGAGCAUGCACUUUACUCAGAAAAAGUAGACUAAAAUAACUAAAAACAAAACAAAACAACUGUAUGUGAAUUGCAUUAUGACUAAAUUAUGACUAAAUUGUUUUAUAUUCUGAGACAAGUUCUGUUUCUGACAUAUUUUAUAAAAUCACUUGCAGUAAGUUAAAUACAGGAUGACCAUGGUCUUUCACAUUUAUCAACCACUCAGGAAUCAAAGGCAAAUACUGUAAAUCCAUAUCUGCUCUGAGCUUAUACAGGCAGAACAAAGAAACUGGCUGACUCAAACAUGGAUACUUUGGAGGGAGGAAGAAGGCAGCAGGACAUUCCAGCAUAAAGAAAAAGACAUUUACCAAUUUCACUGAUUUACUACAAUGAAACCUUGAAGAGUGCAAUUACAGGAUCUUUAUUUGGUGGAUGUGGAGGAACCACACUAAGUGAUUUGUCUAAUCAUACAAUUGGAAUUGAAAGCUGCUUUUUCCUCAGGAAGGAUGCUGGGAUGCACUUUGGAUUCUUUUCCUGCUGCUUCUUGGCUCAGGCCCUGGCAGACAAUGGCAGAUACCUCCCAGAGGAGCAGCUACUAGGAGAUCCAGGGCUGAAUGCCUGACUACUGAACUUCACAGAUCAAACACAUACACCAAAUUUGAGACUGAGAAAUGUCUUAUCCUUCAGAUGGCAUUAUGCUGUUUAAUGUUCUUCACACAGCAUCACAGGAAUGAUAGCUUCCAUGGCACAAGAGCAUUCUCUCAGAAAAGCUGGCAGACUGAGGCCUGGAGAGAUACACUCUUUACUGCAUUAAGAACUGGCUGGAGAGCCAGACUCAGAGAGUGAUGGUGAAUGGAGUUAAAUUCAGCUGGUGACCAGGGGUCAGUACUGGAUUCCAUUCUGUUUAAUAUCUUUGUUGAUGACUUAGAUGAGAGGUUUGAGUACACCCUCAGUAAAUUUGCAGAUGACACCAUGUUGCCUGGAGGUUCUGGACCAACCACAGAGGGUUCUGGACAGGCUGGAUUGAUGGGCUGAGGCCAAUGGGAUGAAGUUCAACAAGACCGAGUGCUGACUUCUGCACUUUGGUCACAAAAAUCCCAAGCAACACUACAAGCUUGAAUCAGAAUGACUGUAAGACUGUGUGGAAGAAAUGGACCUGGGGGUAUUGGUCAAUGCUCAUUUGAAUGUGAGCCAGCAGUGUGCCCAGGUGGUGAAGAAGGUGAAUAGCAUCCUCGCUUGUAUCAGAAAUAGUGUUGGCAGCAGGAGCAGAGAGGUGAUCAUCCCCUUGUACUCAGCUCUGGUGAAGCCACACCUUGAACUCUGUGUUCAGUUUUGGGCCCCUUGCUACAAUUAAGUCCUGAAGUAUGUCUAGAGAAAAGCAACAAAACUGGUGCGGGAUCUGGAGCACAAGGCUUAUGAGGAGCAGCUGAGGGAGCUGGGACUUCUUAGUCUGGAGAAGAGGAGGCUCAGUGGAGGCAUGAAAGAAGGUUGUGGCAAGGUGGAGGUUAGCCUCUGCUUCUGGGUAACUAGCAAUAGGAUGAGAGGGAAUGGCCUCAAGUUACAGCAGGGGAGAUUCAGGUUGGACAUUAGAAAAAAAUUAUUCACUGUAAGAGUGAUGAGUCACUGAAAUGGGCUGU